GCUGAUGUAGCUCAGUCGGUAGAGCAACUGAUUCGUAAUCAGUAGGUCGCCAGUUCGAUUCCGGCCAUCAGCACCA
Molecule: transfer RNA, 76 nt
Filed under: Noviherbaspirillum sp.
Lineage: Bacteria; Pseudomonadati; Pseudomonadota; Betaproteobacteria; Burkholderiales; Oxalobacteraceae
Also listed under: 3 other names
Description: tRNA-Thr
Rfam family: tRNA
About the family: Transfer RNA (tRNA) molecules are approximately 80 nucleotides in length. Their secondary structure includes four short double-helical elements and three loops (D, anti-codon, and T loops).
Source: RNAcentral